RNAcentral lists this microRNA (22 nucleotides) under Monodelphis domestica (gray short-tailed opossum). RNAcentral's name for it is "Mdo-Mir-7373-P5b_3p* (star (passenger))". The record is from RNAcentral. Lineage: Eukaryota; Metazoa; Chordata; Mammalia; Didelphimorphia; Didelphidae.
UUAGGGUGGGGUAAGGUACUGC